UACGGAGGGGGCUAGCGUUGUUCGGAAUUACUGGGCGUAAAGCGCGCGUAGGCGGCUUUGUAAGUUAGAGGUGAAAGCCCGGAGCUCAACUCCGGAAUUGCCUUUAAGACUGCAUCGCUAGAAUCAUGGAGAGGUGAGUGGAAUUCCGAGUGUAGAGGUGAAAUUCGUAGAUAUUCGGAAGAACACCAGUGGCGAAGGCGACUCACUGGACAUGUAUUGACGCCGAGGUGCGAAAGCGUGGGGAGCAAACAGG
RNAcentral lists this ribosomal RNA (253 nucleotides) under uncultured bacterium. RNAcentral describes it as "partial 16S ribosomal RNA". It matches the Rfam family "Bacterial small subunit ribosomal RNA", at positions 524 to 776 of the family's 1533-position model. The record is from RNAcentral.